This 850-nucleotide long non-coding RNA is filed under the name Bemisia tabaci. RNAcentral's name for it is "lncRNA ENSSSA1UGG001148". Lineage: Eukaryota; Metazoa; Arthropoda; Insecta; Hemiptera; Aleyrodidae. The record is from RNAcentral.
GGCACGUAAUUGGAAACCGCGGAGCUGAACUUUUCCGACUUUUUUUUAGCACAUAAAUAAGCCGCUCCCUUAUGGCACAGGCAUUAGCAAUUUUUCCGCUCAGAGAUUUUCGAGCGUAAUGAUAUAUAAAUGAAGAUGUGAGUUCUGCUCUAGCUCAGUUCUGAUUUGAUACCACGCUCGAAGACACAUACCCCGAAAAUUUUGAAUUUUUCGGACUCAAGCGCGUAAAAUGAAUCUGAUGUCAUCUCUCUUGGUUUGGACGACGGUGUUAUGGGUUAUGAUACCGUAUGGAGUGGGAAUGUAUCCACGCGGGCAAUCGGAGAUUGAAUCGGUUCCAUCAACUCCCAGAGCAGGAACGCCUCCCAGAAGUGGGUCGGGUCGUUCUUCCCCUGCUACGCUUGAGAAGGAAAAGAAACUAAACUGGUUCCAAAGGAGGAAGCAGAAGAAAAAACAAGAGGAAGAGGAGAAGGAAAAGGCCGCCGCGAAGAAGAGAAAACCCGUGAAUACUGGGAAGGAAGUCAUGUAUUAUCGCGAUGUGUCCACCGUAGACGCAAGCUGCUAUAGCCAAAUGAUCCGAAGUAUAUUGAAUGACGACCCGUGUAAAAAGGGUAAAGCUGACGCAAACGCUUACUGCAAAAAAGUGACUGGAUUCUUGAACAGACUCAAACCCGAGAAUCGGAGCCCCGACUGCCCCAACGUGAGGAACGGAAGAUGCGCCGAAAUUGAAGGCCAGAAAGUGUGCGCAGUUGACACGUACACGAAGAUGCCAUAUUGCGGAUGCUUAACCAACAGGAAAACUGAAAAAACAAACUUGACGUUUAGUCAGUGUGUUGGCACGAUCCCUUACUAA